GACGAAGGGGGCUAGCGUUGUUCGGAAUUACUGGGCGUAAAGCGUGUGUAGGUGGUUAUCCAAGUUGGAUGUGAAAGCCUUGAGCUUAACUCAAGAAAUGCAUUCAGGACUGGGUGACUAGAGGACCGGAGAGGAUAGUGGAAUUCCCAGUGUAGUGGUGAAAUACGUAUAGAUUGGGAUGAACACCAGUGGCGAAGGCGGCUAUCUGGACGGUUUCUGACACUAAGUCACGAAAGCGUGGUCAGCAAACAGG
Molecule: ribosomal RNA, 253 nt
Filed under: uncultured bacterium
Lineage: Bacteria
Description: partial 16S ribosomal RNA
Rfam family: Bacterial small subunit ribosomal RNA
Source: RNAcentral